CGUGAACGCUGGCGGUAGGCCUAACACAUGCAAGUCGAACGGCAGCACAGUAAGAGCUUGCUCUUACGGGUGGCGAGUGGCGGACGGGUGAGGAAUACAUCGGAAUCUACUUUUUCGUGGGGGAUAACGUAGGGAAACUUACGCUAAUACCGCAUACGACCUACGGGUGAAAGCAGGGGAUCUUCGGACCUUGCGCGAUUGAAUGAGCCGAUGUCGGAUUAGCUAGUUGGCGGGGUAAAGGCCCACCAAGGCGACGAUCCGUAGCUGGUCUGAGAGGAUGAUCAGCCACACUGGAACUGAGACACGGUCCAGACUCCUACGGGAGGCAGCAGUGGGGAAUAUUGGACAAUGGGCGCAAGCCUGAUCCAGCCAUACCGCGUGGGUGAAGAAGGCCUUCGGGUUGUAAAGCCCUUUUGUUGGGAAAGAAAAGCAGCAGGUUAAUACCCCGCUGUCCUGACGGUACCCAAAGAAUAAGCACCGGCUAACUUCGUG
This 492-nucleotide ribosomal RNA is filed under the name uncultured bacterium. Its description in RNAcentral is "partial 16S ribosomal RNA". It matches the Rfam family "Bacterial small subunit ribosomal RNA", at positions 29 to 507 of the family's 1533-position model. The record is from RNAcentral.